This 253-nucleotide ribosomal RNA is filed under the name uncultured bacterium. Its description in RNAcentral is "partial 16S ribosomal RNA". It matches the Rfam family "Bacterial small subunit ribosomal RNA", at positions 524 to 776 of the family's 1533-position model. The record is from RNAcentral.
UACGUAGGGGGCUAGCGUUGUCCGGAAUCAUUGGGCGUAAAGAGCGUGUAGGCGGUUUGGUAGGUCCGUUGUGAAAACUCGAGGCUCAACCUCGAGACGCCGGCGGAAACCAUCAGGCUAGAGUCCGGAAGAGGAGAGUGGAAUUCCUGGUGUAGCGGUGAAAUUCGUAGAUAUCAAGAGGAACACCAGUGGCGAAGGCGAGUCCCUGGACGAUACCUGACACUGAGGCACGAAAGCCAAGGGAGCAAACAGG